CUUUACUGUAGCUUUGUAUUGGACUUUGAACAGAUCUGUGUAGGAUAGGAGGGAGGCUUUGAAGCCGGGACGCUAGUUUCGGUGGAGCCAACGUUGAAAUACCACCCUGGUGUGUUUGAGGUUCUAACCUAGGUCCAUUAUCUGGAUCGGGGACAGUGCAUGGUAGGCAGUUUGACUGGGGCGGUCUCCUCCCAAAGUGUAACGGAGGAGUUCGAAGGUACGCUAGGUACGGUCGGACAUCGUGCUAAUAGUGCAAUGGCAUAAGCGUGCUUAACUGCGAGACUGACAAGUCGAGCAGAUGCGAAAGCGGGACAUAGUGAUCCGGUGGUUCUGUAUGGAAGGGCCAUCGCUCAACGGAUAAAAGGUA
Molecule: ribosomal RNA, 367 nt
Filed under: uncultured organism
Description: bacterial LSU rRNA
Rfam family: Bacterial large subunit ribosomal RNA
Source: RNAcentral